This is a long non-coding RNA of Perognathus longimembris pacificus (Pacific pocket mouse), 164 nucleotides long. RefSeq lists it as uncharacterized. The record is from RefSeq and is a predicted model, not a curated record. Lineage: Eukaryota; Metazoa; Chordata; Mammalia; Rodentia; Heteromyidae. The transcript has 3 exons.
UUGUGUGAUUUAUUCUAUUUCCCUUAUUAUUGAGGGCUAACUUGAUUCCACUGUGAUCAGAUAGAAUACAUGGGAUAAUGUCAAUACUCUUGUAUUUGAUGAGGCUCUGUUUGUGAACUAUGAUAUGAUCUAUUUUGGAGUAUGUUCCCUGGGCUGCUGAGAAG